This 104-nucleotide small nuclear RNA is filed under the name Meriones unguiculatus (Mongolian gerbil). The record is from RNAcentral. Lineage: Eukaryota; Metazoa; Chordata; Mammalia; Rodentia; Muridae.
GCCCUCGCUUCGGCAGCACGUCUACUAAAACUGAAGCAAUACAGAGAGCAGCAAGGUCCCUGGGCAAGGAUGACAUGCAAAUUCGUGAAGUGUUCCAGAUUUUU